AGCAAGCAGUGCACAUCAUUCAAGAAAGGGGCUGAUAUGGUGAAAGCUGGUUUGGAGGAAGGUGUUCCUGGUAUCAAUGUCAUUCUGAACCCUGAGAAUGUAAUUUCGCUGAAUGCAAUUCUUUGGAACGAGCCUCAAACUCAAAGGCAAGGAAGGGAUGCUUUGAAGGACGGGAGGAUGGUGGGGAGACAUUCGUCAGUCUUCUGAACAUGAAACGACCAUUCAAACGAAUGAAGGACCUUGACAUGGAUCAAGUAAUCUCAGAGAUGAUUGAAAAGGUAGAAUGAUGGGCUGUUGUUGUUUGGUGAAUCACUUUACUGAUUAGAUUGUUACAGGGAAUGAAACUCUGAUACU
Molecule: long non-coding RNA, 354 nt
Organism: Tripterygium wilfordii
Lineage: Eukaryota; Viridiplantae; Streptophyta; Magnoliopsida; Celastrales; Celastraceae
Exons: 3
Source: RefSeq, a predicted model, not a curated record